RNAcentral lists this ribosomal RNA (253 nucleotides) under uncultured bacterium. RNAcentral describes it as "partial 16S ribosomal RNA". It matches the Rfam family "Bacterial small subunit ribosomal RNA", at positions 524 to 776 of the family's 1533-position model. The record is from RNAcentral.
UACGUAGGCAGCGAGCGUUGUUCGGAAUUACUGGGCGUAAAGAGUGUGUAGGCGGUGCUCCCAGUCUGUUGUGAAAUCUCCCGGCUUAACUGGGAGGGUGCAGCGGAAACUAGAGUGCUAGAGGGUGGGAGAGGUAAGCGGAAUUCCUGGUGUAGCGGUGAAAUGCGUAGAUAUCAGGAGGAACACCGGUGGCGAAGGCGGGUCUCUGGGCCGAUAUCGACGCUGAGGAGCGAAAGCGUGGGGAGCGAACAGG